This 503-nucleotide ribosomal RNA is filed under the name uncultured bacterium. RNAcentral describes it as "partial 16S ribosomal RNA". It matches the Rfam family "Bacterial small subunit ribosomal RNA", at positions 30 to 523 of the family's 1533-position model. The record is from RNAcentral.
AUUGAACGCUGGCGGCAGGCUUAACACAUGCAAGUCGAGCGGAGUGAUGGUGCUUGCACUAUCACUUAGCGGCGGACGGGUGAGUAAUGCUUAGGAAUCUGCCUAUUAGUGGGGGACAACAUCUCGAAAGGGAUGCUAAUACCGCAUACGUCCUACGGGAGAAAGCAGGGGAUCACUUGUGACCUUGCGCUAAUAGAUGAGCCUAAGUCGGAUUAGCUAGUUGGUGGGGUAAAGGCCUACCAAGGCGACGAUCUGUAGCGGGUCUGAGAGGAUGAUCCGCCACACUGGGACUGGGACACGGCCCAGACUCCGACGGGAGGCAGCAGUGGGGAAUAUUGGACAAUGGGGGGAACCCUGAUCCAGCCAUGCCGCGUGUGUGAAGAAGGCCUUAUGGUUGUAAAGCACUUUAAGCGAGGAGGAGGCUCUUUUGGUUAAUACCCAAGAUGAGUGGACGUUACUCGCAGAAUAAGCACCGGCUAACUCUGUGCCAGCCGCCGCGGUAA